Molecule: ribosomal RNA, 1353 nt
Filed under: metagenome
Description: SSU rRNA
Rfam family: Eukaryotic small subunit ribosomal RNA
Source: RNAcentral
UCUGGUUGAUCCUGCCAGUAGUGAUAUGCUUGUUUCAAAGAUUAAGCCAUGCAUGUCUAAGUAUAAGCGAACUUAUACAGUGAAACUGCGGAUGGCUCAUUAAAACAGUUUGAAUUUAUUUGAUGAAUGUAUGAGAAUACUACUUGGAUAACCGUAGUAAUUCUAGAGCUAAUACAUGCAACGACGCCCGACCGUUUCACUACGGAAGGGCUGUAUUUAUUGGAUACCAAAACCAUCCUUCCCUCGGGAAGUUUUGUUUGAUGAUUCACAAUAACUGAUCGGAUCGCCACUGUGGUGGCGACAGGUCAUUCAACAUUCUGCCCUAUCAGCUUUCGAUGGUUGUGUAGUGGACAACCAUGGCCAUAACGGGUAACGGAGAAUCAGGGUUCGAUUCCGGAGAAGGAGCUUGAGAAAUGGCUACUACAUCUAAGGAAGGCAGCAGGCGCGCAAAUUACCCAAUCCCGAUUCGGGGAGGUAGUGACAAAAAAUAACAAUACCGGGCCUUUUUGGGCUUGGUAAUUGGAAUGAGGGAGAGUUAAACGGACCAUCGAGUAUCCAUUGGAGGGCAAGUCUGGUGCCAGCAGCUGCGGUAAUACCAGCUCCAAUAGCGUAUAUUAAAGUUGUUGCAGUUAAAAAGCUCGUAGUUGGACUUGUGUGCGCUGUCCGCGGGUGGCCUGCGCCCAAAAGGGCGUUUCGGUUCGGCCCCGGUGGCGCCUUGAAAUCUGCAGCUGGGGGGACGUUGGCCUUAACUGGUCGGCGACCGCACGCCGGCUGCUCGGUUACUGUGAGAAAAUUAGAGUGUUCAAGGCAGGCAUUGGGUGCAAUUGAAUACAUUAGCAUGGAAUAAUAAAAUAUGGCUCCUGCCGUAUUUUGUUGGUUUUGACUGGUGGGAGUAAUGAUUGAUAGGGACGGUUGGGGGUGCUAGUAUUGAGCGGCCAGAGGUGAAAUUCAUGGAUUCGCUCAAGACUAACUUAUGCGAAAGCAUUCACCAAGGACGUCCUCUCUAAUCAAGAACGAAAGUUGGGGGAUCGAAGACGAUCAGAUACCGUCGUAGUCUCAACCAUAAACUAUGUCGACUUGGGAUCGGCGGUAGUUUUUUCAUUAAGACACUGUCGGGACCACGGGAGAAAUCAAAGUGUCUGGACUCUGGGGGAAGUAUGGUCGCAAGGCUGAAACUUGAAGGAAUUGACGGAAGGGCACCACCAGGAGUGGAGCCUGCGGCUUAAUUUGACGCAACACGGGGAAACUUACCAGGUCCAGAGAUGUAGAGGAUUGACAGAUUGAAGCUCUUUCUUGAUCACUUCGGUGGUGGUGCAUGGCCGUUCUUAGUUGGUGGAGUGAUUUGUCCAGUUA